Molecule: long non-coding RNA, 327 nt
Filed under: Brassica napus (rape)
Lineage: Eukaryota; Viridiplantae; Streptophyta; Magnoliopsida; Brassicales; Brassicaceae
Description: long non-coding RNA (BNAP_LNC013200)
Source: RNAcentral
GUCUUGGAUCUUCUCUCCAUACUACAAAAACCCUAAGUAAUGUUUGCUGUGAAAAGUAGAAAAGUAUGAAAGCAUGUGUUGCCUAGAACAAUGGUAGAGCACAAAAAUAUUAGGUUAAAAUUAGCCAGGGGUAUUUCUGUAAAUGUGUGUGACUUGAGAUUUAAGUCGGUUGAUAACCUAGUAGGGUCUUGCGCGCUUCGCUGUCGAUCGGCGGUACAUGAUGUGCAUCGAUCGAUGUUAGUCUCUGAAUGUCAACCUCUUGACUGGUUCAAUGGCAGCUACGGGGUUCCUCUCAUUUUAUCUCUAAAAUACACAAAAAUCACCACU